Molecule: ribosomal RNA, 466 nt
Filed under: uncultured bacterium
Lineage: Bacteria
Description: bacterial SSU rRNA
Rfam family: Bacterial small subunit ribosomal RNA
Source: RNAcentral
UCCCAGACUCCUACGGGAGGCAGCAGUGAGGAAUAUUGGUCAAUGGCCGGGAGGCUGAACCAGCCAAGUCGCGUGAGGGAAGACGGCCCUACGGGUUGUAAACCUCUUUUGUCAGGGAGCAAGGUGCAGGUCGGGACCUGCUGUGAGAGUACCUGAAGAAAAAGCAUCGGCUAACUCCGUGCCAGCAGCCGCGGUAAUACGGAGGAUGCGAGCGUUAUCCGGAUUUAUUGGGUUUAAAGGGUGCGUAGGCGGGCUGUUAAGUCAGGGGGCAAAUGUCGGGGCCCAACCCCGGCCUGCCGUUGAAACUGGCGGCCUCGAGUGGGCGAGAAGUAUGCGGAAUGCGUGGUGUAGCGGUGAAAUGCAUAGAUAUCACGCAGAACUCCGAUUGCGAAGGCAGCAUACCGGCGCCCGACUGACGCUGAGGCACGAAAGCGUGGGUAUCGAACAGGAUUAGAUACCCCUGUAA